UGAAUAACAACAGCAGGUGCAUAGGGCAGUCUAGCAUUUUGUCAAAGUCAUUAUCCUCUAAGAUGUAACUUGUGACUGUUCUCUGUAUGUGGCAGGAGCAUAAUGAUGAUUUGGUUGAGUUAUUAGGAUGAUGUUGAAGAGGAACAAUUCUAAUGCCCCACCACCCUGCCUGGUGGGUUGAUCACAAUCUAAAGCCGGUGCAUUAAGGACGGCUUCAUUAACCAUCAUUAGAUGCAAACGAGUACCUUCGCCUAAAUUUGUCCCUAUUCCUCACACGACUGUUAUUUGUAAAGUAGCGCUGUAUGUUGAAGCGGGAAUCAUGUCUACUUUAAUGAAUGUAGUGAACAAACUGAGGCGUGCCAGUUUAAGAAGCCAGUGGUGUGGCAGCUGGGCUCAUUUGGAAGGCUCGUGGAGGGAGGACUGGAUUAUCAGGGGGUGUUUGCAUUUCAGAUUGUCUCAGCUCUUAAUGGAACUAUAAUGACACCAGCACACACAAGCGUUCAUAAAAACACUGCAAAUUGCAGCUCGCCAAAGAAUCAAAUCAAAUCAGAAAAUCAAAUAUGGAGCCUGUGCUUUUCUAUAUUUUGCUACCUGGUCGUGAGCUGGCGAGGAAUUGACGGAGGGGAUGAGCGGUGAGGCACAGAGGGCUGUUGUGCAGCUGUGGCUGUGCCAGGCUGGGUGGGAGGAUCAAAGGGUCGUGAGGCCAAACAUUAGUGAUGUGGUCUCUGACUUCAUCCACUCCAGAUGGAGGGAGAGAGAGCUAGUGAACUCACCACGCCACAAAGAGAGCCGGUCCCUCAACCCUAACACUAUCACCAUGCAGCACAAAUCACUACCAGACCUGCCACCCAGCCCCCCUCCUCUAGUCACCAGCAACAUAAAUUCCUUUUUUAAUGACCUAAUGGCAUACUCAUCUGUUUGCGUGAACAGAGCUCUUCAAGAACUUCAAAGUUUGCUUCCUAAUGCAACAAGAUGUGUCAGUGGGCUUGGAGAGAAUGUUUUGUUGUCCUACUGAAGUAUAAUCAUCUUAUUUACGAGACACAACCCCAACAAAUUUCAUUCGUCAUCACUUUACUACGUACGUCAAGAGAAAGACACACACAUACUCACUCACGUGAACAACAUAUCAGUCAGUCAGCUUAGCCAACACUCAGGGCCACAAGCAGUGUGUGUGAGCAUGUGAUUAGCUGUGUGUGUAACUCCAGCACCCUUUGUACAUGUCGUUUAGCAGGAAGGGGAUCUCUUGGGUCCUCUGGCUCGCACAUGUGACCCAGGGUGUGGGGACUCCCGUGGAGAAUCCAGGUUAGCCUCACACAGGAGCCCUGGCUUUGUCCCAGUCUGAGCCUCAAUGGGCAGCAUAUGGUGGUGGAUGAUGCUAAUUGUCCUCUUCACACUGGGCUAGCCAGUCAAGGCAUUAAUAAAACACCGGGCGCCUCAUUCCCCUAGCCUCUGGAGGAGAGGGCCCGCCUGGGUUUCCUUUUACUACCACAUGAAUUAAAGAGACAUCACUCAGAGCCCGGGCCAGCAGGGCCAGCAGGACCAGCACAGUUGUUGGAGUUUGGGUGUUUAGUUUCUGUAUAUUUUCCGCAUCACGUUUAAUUUAAGAAUAUCUGUAGCCAUCAUAAUCCAUUAAUUCAGGGUUUGUGGUUCAUACACUGAGCUUACUCAUGUUUGACUUAAUAUCAACAAGCAUCAGAUUUCACUGUCAGAUUGGAGAGAAUGGGGACAGUAGGUUCUUGGCAGAGCUUCGUUCUGCAACUCUCUCGUCUCUGUGGCUGAUCUGAGAGGGCUGAUGAGUCCCUCCACAUCUUUCCACACAUCACCAGCCUGCAGCACCCGCCUUUGAUCUCAACACCACACCAAUCAAAACAGCACAUGGAAAAAAACAUUAUAUUGUCAACAUAUGGAUACACCAAAUGACAACGGCGAAAAUAACCUCUUAAAAAUAAAUGAUCACCGCAGCAAAAACUCACAAAAGAGAACAGCUGAGAGCAGUGGGCUGCUGGUGUCAACACAGUAUCCUGUCUCUGCACGUCACUAUGCGGAAUCAAGCCAUGCCCGAGGGCCUUUCUUUUCAAGUCUAAAUCUAACACACUUAGAGGCUAAAAGGCACACAUGCAGCUCCAAAACAAUGGUCCCCUGCUAUACAGCCCCAGAACCACCUUCCUGAUGGGGCAUGUUGAGCGCUGCAGCCUGGUACCAGGCAACCCUUUAACGGAGACAUCUCAAGCCUCAAGCUGUUGAUGAUUAAAAACUCCAAGAUUUAGGUCUCAAGAAACACCAUUUUCAAAGACCAACUGCACUCUGAUAAAUGAGGUGAUAUCAGGUGUUAUAUACGUGGGAAGCUGUCAACAUUCAUUUUAUACUCUGAGGCAAAACUCAUACUCCUGGUGUUAUCUUGUCCUGUAAACAGUUAUUCCAUAUUUCCUGAGAAAAACAGUCAUUUACUGGAUGCCUCCUUGGUCCAGUCCUCAGUGCACUUGAGGGAUAUUAGACAGGAAAGGCCACACCUUAGAAAAACACUCCACCCACCAAAUCCUCCCAAAUAUCUGAAUUCUCUAAAUCUUGGGUUACUCAUUUUCUAUGGAACUGGAGGAAACGACGGAAAUAGAAAACACUUAAUACGUCAAAAAAGACAGAAAUCAAAGACUUUAAGGCUCGUGCCAUAAAAACAAUAAUCCCUCUCAAAACUCCAACAAGUAAAUGUGACUUUUGUUUAUGCUCACAAUAAACACUAUUUAUCUCUCCUCCGAAGACGAAGAGAAGAUAAAGAGCUUGUUAUUGGUUGGUUAUUUAUCGACUGCUUUGGAUCAUAAAGUUAACCCAUGCUGCCCACACGUUCCCAAUUCUCUCCCUCUGCCGGCCUGUAAGACAUUCCUGGUAAUCCUUAAUGUAAAAAUAUCAAAGGGAUCUGUGGUGCUGUAGAAACAAUGGGCAUUGUCCUAAUGGGGUAUGAGGAGGGCUAAAACACGAGCCUGAACAUGUUUACUUCAUAAAAGUGAAUCUCACAAUAGUAUAGAAAUGUUCAACUUCCUGGUUUCUUUAAAUCAGAGAAUGAGGUCCAAUGAGGCCCGGACUCUGAAUGGUGGAGUUCUCUUUCUGGAUGGAGCUGGGUGGGUGUUUCAGUGAUUCUGCUCUCUGGAGAGAAGAUCAGAGAAUGAGGUCCAAUGAGGCCCGGACUCUGAAUGGUGGAGUUCUCUUUCUGGAUGGAGCUGGGUGGGUGUUUCAGUGUUUCUGCUCUCUGGAGAGAAGAUCAGAGAAUGAGGUCCAAUGAGGCCCGGACUCUGAAUGGUGGAGUUCUCUUUCUGGAUGGAGCUGACUGGGUGUUUCAGUGUUUCUGCUCUCUGGAGAGAAGAUCAGAGAAUGAGGUCCAAUGAGGCCCGGACUCUGAAUGGUGGAGUUCUCUUUCUGGAUGGAGCUGGGUGGGUGUUUCAGUGUUUCUGCUCUCUGGAGAGAAGAUCAGAGAAUGAGGUCCAAUGAGGCCCGGACUCUGAAUGGUGGAGUUCUCUUUCUGGAUGGAGCUGACUGGGUGUUUCAGUGUUUCUGCUCUCUGGAGAGAAGAUCAGAGAAUGAGGUCCAAUGAGGCCCGGACUCUGAAUGGUGGAGUUCUCUUUCUGGAUGGAGCUGACUGGGUGUUUCAGUGUUUCUGCUCUCUGGAGAGAAGAUCAGAGAAUGAGGUCCAAUGAGGCCCGGACUCUGAAUGGUGGAGUUCUCUUUCUGGAUGGAGCUGGGUGGGUGUUUCAGUGUUUCUGCUCUCUGGAGAGAAGAUCAGAGAAUGAGGUCCAAUGAGGCCCGGACUCUGAAUGGUGGAGUUCUCUUUCUGGAUGGAGCUGACUGGGUGUUUCAGUGUUUCUGCUCUCUGGAGAGAAGCUGGGAAACAGGAAGAGACUUUUCUCUGCUCAUUUCUUAUUCAGCAGCUGUGCCAGUGAGA
Oncorhynchus keta (chum salmon) is the source of this 3931-nucleotide long non-coding RNA. RefSeq lists it as uncharacterized. The record is from RefSeq and is a predicted model, not a curated record. The transcript is spliced from 3 exons. NCBI's taxonomy places the organism in Eukaryota, Metazoa, Chordata, Actinopteri, Salmoniformes, Salmonidae.